Molecule: ribosomal RNA, 757 nt
Filed under: Diversispora eburnea
Lineage: Eukaryota; Fungi; Glomeromycota; Glomeromycetes; Diversisporales; Diversisporaceae
Description: eukaryotic LSU rRNA
Rfam family: Eukaryotic large subunit ribosomal RNA
Source: RNAcentral
GCAUAUCAAUAAGCGGAGGAAAAGAAACUAACAAGGAUUCCCCUAGUAAUGGCGAAUGAAGAGGGAAAAGCUCAAAUUUUAAAUCUACCUGGUUCCCAGGUCGAAUUGUAAUUUGAAGAAACGAUAUCGGUGUUAAGGUCUGGUUCAAGUUCUUUGGAACAAGACAUCAUGGAGGGUGAGAAUCCCGUGCAUGAUCAGACCGAGAUACUUAAUAUUCGUUCUCUAAGAGUCGAGUUGUUUGGGAAUGCAGCCCAAAAUGGGUGGUAGACUUCACCUAAGGCUAAAUAUCAGCGAGGGACCGAUAGCGAACAAGUACUGUGAAGGAAAGAUGAAAAGAACUUUGGAAAGGGAGUUAAAUAGUACGUGAAAUUGUUGAAAGGGAAACGAUUGAAGUCAGUCAUGCUAGUGAAAAUUCAGUUUGGCGGAUUUUGGGUUUAGGAGUAGAGGCAGGGUCAAACCGUUUCUCUUUUGAACUUGGAAUUUGUCAGAUGCACUUUUUCUUUGGCAGGUCAGCGUCGAUUUCGGAGGUUGUAAAAUACUUGGGGUAAAGUAGCUCUGCUUCGGGAGAGUGUUAUAGACCUUGGGGGAUGCAGCCUGCGGGAUCGAGGAUUGCAGCAAAUACCUUUGGCUUGUCGCCUGAUCUCUGGAUGUUACCUCGCUUGCAACAACAUUCUUGUUGCCGGCGAGUACUAAUGCCUAUUAGGUUAGAGCGAUCAAAAAUUUUGCUAAGGAUGCUGACGUAAUGGCUUUAAACGAC